UACAGAGGUCCCAAGCGUUGUUCGGAUUCACUGGGCGUAAAGGGUGCGUAGGCGGUCGGGUAAGUCUGAUGUGAAAUCUCACAGCUUAACUGUGAAACUGCAUUGGAUACUAUCCGGCUCGAGGAAUGGAGGGGAGACUGGAAUACUUUGUGUAGCAGUGAAAUGCGUAGAUAUCAAGUGGAACACCAGUGGCGAAGGCGAGUCUCUGGACAUUUCCUGACGCUGAGGCACGAAAGCCAGGGGAGCAAACGGG
This 253-nucleotide ribosomal RNA is filed under the name uncultured bacterium. Its description in RNAcentral is "partial 16S ribosomal RNA". It matches the Rfam family "Bacterial small subunit ribosomal RNA", at positions 524 to 776 of the family's 1533-position model. The record is from RNAcentral.